CCUGAGUUAGACUCGAUCAAGAUUAUUUAUCACUGAAGCGGGCUCGAUUAGAAAGCGUUGCUACUGAGUGUGUAGCUUUCAGUGUGUAGUCAAGACUUAGUGUUUAACGUUGAAUCGGAAAUUAAGCAAAAACAGGUUAGCAAGUAAAUAAUCAGAAUGUCUGCUCAACAACCACCCCAAGUCGUAACCACACAACCCGCAAAUGUUGUUGCUGUUGGAGGAUGUCCAUCAUGCGGUGUUGGACGGGUGUCAGAAGAUUUCACAACUAUAGGUAUAAUCCUGGCCAUUUUGUUCUUUCCUCUAGGAAUAUUGUGCUGUUUGAUGAUGAAGGAGAAGAAAUGUGACAGAUGUGGCGCGAAAUUUUAGAACACAAAAAUAUUAAACAUAGUGAAUAUAAGAAAAGCUCUGUAUAUCAAAUGCAACGUACUAUACACUUUCUGAGUGGAGUAAUACUUACAAGUGAUACUGAACAUGUAUAAUGCGUGGGUAACUGACUGGAUAAGGAAGGAAAUAUCGGAAUGUGUUUACCUUUAAUUAUAAGAAGGAUAUAUAGUACGGAAUGAGCGUUAGAUAUAAUACUUAUACAAUUAUCGUUGUUUAAAUAUGUUAUGUAUAUAAUUACGUGUUUACAUAUUUUCCAGUUUCUUUCUUAUUUCAAGUAACAAGAGAAUGUAAAUGGGAUUUUCCAAUUUCUUUCUUAUUUCAAUUUGUAAGAUAAUGUAAAUGGAGGAAAUUUGAUUACCUGCAUCAUCUGAUGAAAUUCAAGAUUCCUCAGCAGACGAGAAUGUUCUUUAUUUCAACCGUCGUGUAAAUGAAAAAUGGAUUUUUAUGUUAAAAAUACCAAAAAAGUCGUCCUUAGUAAAAUCGACGUAAGUAAAUUAUUCUUACAUGGCGCGAUUUGAUUGUGUUAAACAAAGAAGCGGGUCAAGCUCUGUAUAUUCUGCGAUAGAUAACGGUUGACGCAUGGAUCAGUAAGGGAGCAUUUUGACGUCUAAUUUACCAAAUGGUGUACGGUUCAUUAGUAUAUCUAUUUAGAUAAAAGAAGCCCAGCAAAAAACAUGGAAGAAUGAAAACAAUCAAGUUCUUCUUGUGGUCUAUAGUCUUAUAUACCACGGUUCAUCGUUCAGAUGGUUAGAUAUUUAACCACUCCGGCUUACGCACUCGUAGUUCAAUUCCUGAGCAUCUGAACUGGCGACAUGGUUCAAUAUCCAAGCAUCUGAACGAUGAACCGUGGUAAACAAGACGAUAAACCACAAGACGACAUUGAUUGUUUUUAUUCUUACACGUUCAUUGAAAUAUUUUGAUAUGACGCUGGGCUUCCUUUAUCCGAGCACUAAUGAACCGGACGUCAUGCAAUAAUUUGGCGUCAUAUCUGACGUCAUUAUGUUUUCUUACUGGUCUACUUGAACUAUUCUAACAUGGUCCGAUUUGAUGGCCACUUAAACAGAGGGUCAAAUUCUGUAUAUUCAGCGAUAAACAACGGUUGACGCUUGGACCAGUAAGAGAACAUUUAAUUUAUGACGUCAGUUAUCAUGUCAUAUUACCGCAUGAUGUUCGGUUCAUUAGUACUCGGAGAAAUGAAGCCCAGCAUUACAAUCAAAAUAUUUCAAUGAACGUGUAAGAAUGAAAAUAAUUGAGGUCUUUUUGUGGUUUAUCGUCUUAGUUACCAAGGUUCAUCACUCAGAUGCUUAGAUAUUUAACAACUUGGGCUAACGCCCUUGUGGUUCAGUUCCUGUGCAUCUGAACUCUGAACCGUGAUAAUUCUGGCGAGAAACAACCCGAAGGCCUUGAUUAUUUGUUAAACAAUUCUUCUAAAUAAAACAUCGCUUUUAUUAAAAAUCGUUUCAAUGAUGUGGUUCACACUUUAUUUUUGAUUCAUUCAUACAGAUACAGCUUUGUAUCCUUUCACACACAUAUAAUCACUGAAUAAUGCACUUUGGAACGUACAUAAUGGGGCCUAUAGUAUACUUACGUAUCUCAAGUUAUUUAUGACUGCCUUUGUCUUUGCCUUUCAAUAAUUUACAUCAAAUUAUAUUCUGUAUAUAUGUAUUCAUGUGAAACAUUUGAAUUAGAAUAAAAAAUGUUAAUCUUGUC
Mercenaria mercenaria is the source of this 2094-nucleotide long non-coding RNA. RefSeq lists it as uncharacterized. The transcript is spliced from 4 exons. The record is from RefSeq and is a predicted model, not a curated record. NCBI's taxonomy places the organism in Eukaryota, Metazoa, Mollusca, Bivalvia, Venerida, Veneridae.